Molecule: long non-coding RNA, 223 nt
Organism: Daphnia pulicaria
Lineage: Eukaryota; Metazoa; Arthropoda; Branchiopoda; Diplostraca; Daphniidae
Exons: 3
Source: RefSeq, a predicted model, not a curated record
GUGGUGGACCUGUCAGAGUCCAGAACGACACAUUUUCUUUGUUUAAAGUUCUUUUCUCGUCCUCAGAGUUAUAUACUCUUCCGAUUGUGAUUGUCCCCUCUUCCUACACUGUCCAGCCGCCACCUUGGCUCUUAAGACUCUUCGCCAUUCCCUGGCCCUCCACGUGAUAAUCUGUAUCAUUCUGAUUUGGGUCUGAUUAUGUCUGUCUGACUCUUUGCAACCC